RNAcentral lists this ribosomal RNA (197 nucleotides) under uncultured bacterium. RNAcentral's name for it is "partial 16S ribosomal RNA". It matches the Rfam family "Bacterial small subunit ribosomal RNA", at positions 1305 to 1500 of the family's 1533-position model. The record is from RNAcentral.
CUGCAACUCGCCUGCAUGAAGUCGGAAAUUGCUAGUAAUCGCAGAUCAGCAUGCUGCGGUGAAUACGUUCCCGGGCCUUGUACACACCGCCCGUCACACCAUGGGAGUCGGUAACACCCGAAGUCGGUAGCCUAACCGUAAGGAGGGCGCCGCCGAAGGUGGGAUUGAUGACUGGGGUGAAGUCGUAACAAGGUAUC